This 7326-nucleotide long non-coding RNA is filed under the name Gossypium barbadense (sea-island cotton). Its description in RNAcentral is "long non-coding RNA (GBAR_LNC001872)". Lineage: Eukaryota; Viridiplantae; Streptophyta; Magnoliopsida; Malvales; Malvaceae. The record is from RNAcentral.
CCGCUCCAAGCAAGGAAACAUGAUCGUCUUUGUUUCCGCCAUCGCUGUCCAUUCUUCUAGACUUUCCAUCCCACUUAAGGUGAAUUUUUUCAAUGCAGGAAAGACCUUGAUCACCUUAUUCAUACCAUCAACACCUUCGUUGCAAUAAAAUUCAUUACCCAUGCGUUUCACUUUCUUCAGAUUUCUCAACUUAAGAUACUGGAGAUUGUGCAAUUGGCCCAGAGGUGGAAGACUUUCACAGUUGAUGCCAUUGAAAAUGUUCAGCUCCAUCAAAUUGUUAGCAAAAACUGAUCAGUAUUAGAAUCACCAACAGGUCUUAACAUCCAUGAGGGAAAGCUUUCACCUUCAUAAUUCCUAACAAUUAAGCUUUGCAAAUUUGAGUGAGGUUGGAGACCUUCCAUCACUUCCUCACUGUUAUAACCACCACUCCCACCAUGACUCACUUCAAAACCAAAUAUCAACUUGCACAAUUUUCCUUUAAGGCGUAGAUUUGCUCCAUUAGCCUCUUGUUUGUCUCUAACACCCCGAAGAUGGCAUAUCUUCAGUUCUCCACGCAGUUUGUUUAGGGAUCCUAACUCCUUAAUCGAACGUCCCCUUUCUGAUCCCACAAAAAAUAUGGGUAAUGUUUGAAGACAAGUUAGGUUUCCAAUAUUAACUGGCUGAAGUUCUUUUCUAUCAAAAUACAAGUGCUUCAAGCUUAUCAAAAUUUCCAAUCCAUCUGGAAGUGUGAGUCCCGGUAAACCCAAGAGCCUCAAUGUUUGCAGAUUGUAAAGUUUGGUUGUGGACUUAGGCAGUGCUUUGAUAGAAGUCCUUGAGAUGUCCAAAUACCUCAAGUGCUUUAAUUCUCCAAGGGAAUCUGGCAACUCACAAAUAUUAGCAGCACCAACAAACUUUAGGACUCUUAAUCUUGUGAAGCUUUUUGGCAGUUUCUUGAACACAUCAAUCUCUGAAAACAACGAGUAUAAUUUUGGAGCAACCACCGUUAAAAUUUCUGGUAAUGAUUCCCCAUUACACCCAACAUUGAGAUGACGAAUAUGAGAACACUCAUUCGAGGCGAGAGUGGAAUUCUCUUGAAAAAACAAAGUAUCAAACUUUGACACAGACAAAGAUAAAUCAUGCACCGAGUCGUGCAUCUUGAAUGUGAGAAUAUUCCCAAAUUUGUCCUUCUCGACAUCUUGAAAUAAGGAAUUUGAUAACAACUCAUUCAAGUAUUUGUCACCAAUAUCCACCAUUGCCAUAGAGCUGCCAAGAAAUACUUCAGCCAUCCACAGUUGGAUCAAUUCCUCUUUUUCAAAGAAAUAAUCUUUAGGAAACAUGGCAGAGUAUGCAAAACACUUCUUCAAAGGUGGAGAAGACAAGUGAUCGAAACUUAACUUUAACACCCUUUCCAUUGAACCCGAUGCAUCACUUCUUUGAAUUUUCGACCAUGCGCAAGGACUCCUUUCGAUUUUGCGCAUUAUCCCUCCCAUAAGUUUAGCUACCAAUGGCACACCUCGACAUUGCUUAGCAAUUUCAUUUCCAAUUAACUCUAAUUCGUGAGACAUUGGAGAGGCCCUUAGUGCUUGUUGUUUUAUUAGGGACCAGCAUUCUUCAUCUCCUAGUCUUCCUGGUUGAUGCCUUUGAUUUGGAAGUGCUUGCACUUUUGACGCUACAUCUUGAAUGCGUGUUGUCACAAUAACUCCAUUCCCACCAUUUUUACUGAUUUCCAUCAGAUGAUCCUUCAGUGCGUCCCAUUUUUCAAAACUCCACACAUCAUCAAGUACAAGAAGAUACUUGAUCUGAUCCUUUUCUCGUUUGGCCCGUUCAAUCUUCUCCUUGAGUUUCUCAACCAUUGCAUUCAUAUUUUGAGGAAUUGAGAUCUGAUCAUCAGUAAAAUGCUCUAACAUCUCUUUUAAAAUCCUCUUGACAUCAAAAUGAUCAGAAACACACACCCAGAAUUUGACAUCGAAAUGUGCUGCCACAUUCGAAUCAUUGUACACCAGCUUUGCUAAAGUAGUUUUGCCAAGACCUGCCAUGCCUACUAUUGGCACAAAAGAAACAAUCUGUUCAUCUUUGGGAUUGACUAACAGGUCAACUACUUUUGAGACAUCAUUUUUCCUUCCAAUAAUGUCUAAGCCCGUGAGGACGGAGCUCGUCUCCUCCUCUCGUCGUCCAUACUCAGGAUCUGGAUCGGUAGCUCUCUUUUGGAGACCAAAAUCAGUGGCCAAUUUGUUAAGGUCAUCCAGUGUUUUAAGGAUGUCCUUAAUUUUAUUAGCCAUGUUGCGACGAAAUACAAAGGGAUUGGAGGGAGAACAAAAGUCUCGUACCUUCCUCCUAAUUUGGUUUCGAAUCUCCACUUUCCUUCGGAGAAUUUCAUAAGCAAACUCAUCAAGGACAUCAUCGGCCUCGUAAGCAACAUCUUUGAGCCUAUGUAACCAAACCUUCACUGCUUCGUUCUUUGUUUGCCUUUCCUCUGCAUCUUGAAAGAAAGCUUUGAUCAGUUGUAGUGAGUCACCCAGUCUUUUCAGCUCCUUCUUGAAACCCAAUGCAAGGCCGAUUCGUUCAGCGGCAAUAGAAAUCAGUUUAGACACCACUCCUUCUAGGACAGCAGCCAAAAGAGCUUCUGCCAUCUUUGCUUCUGCAAUCUGAAAGGUCUGAAAUGUAAGGAAAUAUUUUUUCUUUAAAAAAUCCCACUCGAAAUAAAGAGGAAAAGAAGAAAUUCGUAACUCGGAAAAUUAAAGCAACAGGAUACUGAGUCCAGGAAAUGAAAUAGAGCUGAAGAUGAACUGGUUCAGUAAAAGUGAACUGAAUUGUGUUUUGUGUAUUAAAUAUAUGACAUUGUUUUGGGAUUUUUAGAACAUAUAAGCUUAUUGGGUGGGCCGUGUUUGAAAUUGGGCUUGAUUUUUUAAAAUUGUUGCAAUCCGAUCCAUAAACACUUACUAAAAAAAUAAGAAUUGGUGGCAAAGAAGUAGAACAAUGGGUGUAAAGAGAGCUAGGUGUGAAGUACAUAAGUGGUUAUUAUAUUUUUGUUAUUAAAUAUGUAUAAGUAUUUGUGUAAUUAAUUUCUAAUUGAUAUACUAAUUAAAAACUAAUAUUAAUGUACAAAAAUUACAUAUUAGGAUUAUGAUCAUUUAAAUUACUUUAUAGAUAAUUUUUUUUGACAUCUUAUUUUUUAGAAAAGAAAGUGAUCUAUUUUAAAAUAUUAUUAUGUUAAUUUGAAACAUAAAAAUAAUAAGAUUUAAGUAUUUCAACAUAUCAUAAAUUCGAGUAUAAUUUUACAUCUAUUUUUUUAUUUUUUAUGAUCUGACUAGAUAGUUUCUAGUUAAUUAAUAAUAAAGUAAUGGUUUAAUUAAUUCAACUAAUGAAAAAUAAUCAAAAUUGUUUGUGAGCAUACGAAAACUGAAAACCUGAAAAACUAGUAAAAACUUGAAACAAAUAUAUAUUAUUUUAAUAUAAUAUAGUAAUUCAGCUCGAAUUUAUAAAAACUUUUAAAUUAUUUUUGAGAGAUUUUAAUGGGUAGAUAACAUUGGUCACAUCAUUAAAUUUUAACAGGAUUUAGGUUUAGGGACCAAACCGAAAUUAGUUGUCAACUUCAAGUACCAAAGUGGACCAAUAAAAAAUACAGAUAUCAAAAUAGACUAGGGUAAAAAUUAUAUUAUCCCUUACAGAUAUUGUAGGGGAUGUUUAAUUACAUCAAUUUCUUUGAUGUUUAAUUACAUAGAAUAGCUGUCGACAAAGAAGCAACUUUUUAGUUACAAUCUAAAAAUCAUAGAAUUUAGUUCUAAUUAAAAGUUGGCUUAAUAAUCACUUUAGUUCUUGAACACGAGAUCAUUGUCUUUUGGAAUGAUAUCACUUACAGUAGUUGUUUUAUAAUUUAAUCAAUCGAAAUUUAUAUUUAGUAGAUUUUUUAAGUGAUAAAUUUAGAUAAUAUUUUUCAUAUUAUUUUAAUUAAAUAAUCAUUUAAAUAAUAAAUAUGAUUUUUUAAGAAUUUUCUAAUGAUGAUAUCACUCAUCAUGUGAUACAUGAAAAUAUAUGACUGACUAAAUAUCUCAACCCUUAGUUCUUAAUGUCCAAAAGAGUAAACUGGAAACUCUAAUAACAUUAGGGACUGAAGUGAGCAAAAAAAACUUUAAGGAUCAAAAUAGAAAAAGUGAUAUACUUUAAGGGUUAAAAUGUGAAUUAAGUAUUAAAAGAUUGAGGAUUGUUAAGGUAAUGUAAAAUAACUUGGAAAAAGGAAAUAUUCUAAAUAUAAGACAAAUUUGAUGAUUUUGGGACGAUAUGUUACGUUAUAAAUGGGUGUUUUAAAAUAUAAAUACAUGUUUUAUUAAUAACUGGAUGUGAUCAAAUUACAAGUUAGAAUAAAUUUAAACUAUAAACUAAUUAAUUAAACUAACAAAUUACGAGUUAUAAUCACUGCAAGAUUUUGUAGCAAGUCUGACCCCUGAAAUAAAUAAUUGAUUAAAUGAGCCGAAAUUGAGCAAAUUUAAUUGCACAAUAUAUAACCAUUCAACACAAAAUAAAACUCAAUAAUAUAGUAAAGAACAUGUGAAUUUUUACGUGAAAAACCCCCCUUAAAGUAAAGCAAAGGGUAAAAAUCACGGGACUUGAAAGUCCACUAAAAAACUUCACUAUACCCAAAAGGUUUAUUACAACAUCACAAUACAAAACCACAAUAAAAAAGCAUACAACUCCAACAAAACUAUUUGGAGAAAAGUAAAGGAUAUCACCCAAAUAUGACUUUAACAUUGAAAAUGAAAAACCUAAAGAUACAAAAUCCGUAUGAAAAAUCCAACCUUGCACAAUCGAAAUAGCCAUUGUCCAAAAAUCAGCUCAGACAGACAUCAGAUAAACCCCUGAAUUGGUGAACUAAAGCUGUCUUUUAUAUUAUAGCUCUUCAAUGUCGAAAAGGAGAACCAUUCACUCUGACUCCAGCCCUAUCAGCAUCUCCCUUCAUAUCCAAAGAGAAUUCAGAAAGUUCAUGAGUGGAUACUGGAAAAUUCAUGGAACAUAAGCAGUACUGGUUUUAACAAAAGGUUAAAACAUGAAAAUCCGUCCUUAAAUUAGAAGCAAUAAAAUAGCAGAAAGAAAGAAUAAAGAAAGAAAUAUAAGAGACUUGUAGUUCCAAACUAAAUGAAUGGUUUAUGGUGUUAUGUUAUUCAAUUUAGUUGUUCAUUGCAAAUGACUAUAUAUAGAAAGAGACUUACCAUAUUCACUAAAUCUUUAUCAAAUCAACACUUAAAAGCCAGUUUGUAAAUUGCAAAGAUAAUCAUAUCAUAGAAUGAAGUGUCAUAAAUUGCAUGAGAAGGAAAUCAAAGUCUUGCAAGAAACUUCCUCAUUGAUCACAACUUAACAUCAGUUCUUGAAAGGAGACACAAAUGCAAUGCAAGACAAGAUACAAACUUCUGAUUAGAAUCCAAAGAAAGGUGAAUUUGUUGUCAAUCACAAAAGAACCAAUCACAAUUCCAAUUCAAAGCUGGUCUUUAUUGGUUGCAUGAUCUAUGAUUCUCAAAUACAAAAGAAUAAAAGUUUGAAAAUAAAAGAAAUUUCCUAAUAAAGCUAGUCGAAGUUAUUCUCCAAGGUCAUACACCACUUACCUUAAAUAUGUCACAAUAUGAUUUGAGAAGUUUGUAAGAGAGGGCUGCAAUGAUAUAUUUUUGUAGGAAACACAAGAAGAAAAAUAUGAUAUCCAUGAAACCUUUAUCAAAAUUUAAGUUAAAAAUAUGAGAUAUGAGAAAAGGGACUUAUGAUAUCCAUGGAAUUUUUGAUCAAGGCAAAAUCUAAAGGCAUCAUAUCUUAAUUUUCUUGGAAAGGAAAUAGAAGCACAACUUACUUUUGUGUCCACACAUUCAAUUCAUAAUUUGGUUCUCAAACAGAUAGUCUCAAAAGUCUCCAUCCAUAAACUGAAUACUGCAACAUUAUGCCACAAAAGCCAAAAAAAAUUUAAAACAAGGCAUUAUAUCAGACUAAAUCAAGUAGCUUAGGAUGAGAAGAACAAAGGGUAUAACUGAACUUACCUCCGACGAUUAAUAUAUAUACGUGGAAUGUGGGAAAUCUUGGACCAUUCAGGGCCACUCUCCCUCUCACAUCUUGUCUCUAAUUCAGGACAAUUUUCAAUGUCAACCCUUACUAAUUUGGAGAGGCUUCGCAUAACAUCUACAGGAGGCAGGUACAUGAGCUUAUUGCAUGAAUGGAUUCUCAGAUGCUUUAGAGAAGAGAGGUUUCCCAACCACUCUGGAAAGGCUUCUAUUCCUUGAAACCCUUCUAUCGUCAAUUCUUGGAGGGCAGUGAAGAAAUGAAGUUGGUGAGGAAGACACUGUAGCUUUUCCCAACCAAUCAGUUUUAGAACUAGAAGGGAGGCACUGAGAUAUUGAAUGGAACUGGGCCAUGGGAAUUCUUGCAACUCUUCUGAGAAACCACCGAUAGCUAAAUCUCUCAAGCAGUUAAGCCUACCAAGGCUGUCAUCUUGAAUCCAUGUCCGAUCAGGCAAAUUUAAUAUACUUAGCCUGCAAAGGGAAACGUUGGAUUGCAACAUAUUUGGUAGCAGACGACUCCAUUCUUCGCCUACUUUCUUAAAUUCUAAUUCUGUGAGAGAAGAGGGUCCAUCUAAACUUGGAAUGGGCUUCAAAUUAGGGCAAUCACGUAUCUUCAAUUUUUUAAGGGAUGACAGUGGUGCUUUUAGUGGAAAGCUCUCCAAUUUGUCACAGCGAUCAACUGAUAGAUUUUGAAGAGAUGAAAGGAUCGAACUUAAAUUAGGACAAUCUUCUAGAACUAAUACUCUGAGACAAGAGGAGGUAGAUAAUCCAUCUCCAAUCUUGCUUAAUUUUUCACAACUGGAAAUGAGAAGCCCUUCAAGAGAUGAACACCCUCCAGUAAUUGGAAGAACUUCCAAUUUGUCGCAAUUAAGAACUGACAGAUAUUGAAGACAGGAAAAUCCUUCCAAAUUUGGGAUCGAACUUAAAUUAGGACAAUAGUUUAAAUGUAAUUCUUUGAGACAAGUGGAGGUUGAUAAUCCGUCUCCAAUCUUGCUUAAUUUGUCACAUAAUGAAAUGCGAAGCAUUUCAAGAGAAUAACAUUGUCCCGUUAGCGGAACACUUUUCAACAAGGGACAACCCAAAAUCUUCAGCCGCUCCAAGCAAGGAAACAUGAUCGUCUUUGUUUCAGCCAUUGCUGUCCAUUCUUCUAGACUUUCCAUCCUACUUAAGGUGAAUUUUUUCAAGGCAGGAAACACCUUGAUCACCUUAUUCAUACCAUCAACACCUUCGUUGCAAUAAAAUUCAUUACCCAUGCGUUUCACUUUCUCCAGAUUUCUCAACUUAAGAUACUGGAGAUUGUGCAAUUGGCCCAGAG